GCAAUCAUUGGCCUAGAUGGAAUUACUGCAGAGAUAAUGAAUCACCAGAAGACACAGCAAACGUGGGCCAAUGAACCAGCAGGAAUCCAUGCCUACCAUACAUAAAGGAAUAGACGCAAAGAGGAACAUCCGACUUUACAUUGGCUCCUCCUAGAAAAAGAGAAGUCAGGCAGGUGCAUUUCUCCAGUUUCAAAGAAAUGAAAGACAACAAACUUGAAGAAGAAAUGUAAAACAUCAAAGAAAGAGCAAUAACUCAGGAAAGCUAUGGGCCUUUCUGUUUAAAAAUCACUAAGUCAAAUGUUCUCUCUGAUUAUGAUGUUCUUGCUUUCUGGCUGACUUAUUCUCUCCUCCCCACAAUGACUGUUCUCUGGAUCCACAAACACUUUUAU
RNAcentral lists this long non-coding RNA (389 nucleotides) under Bos taurus (domestic cattle). RNAcentral describes it as "long non-coding RNA NONBTAT001700". Lineage: Eukaryota; Metazoa; Chordata; Mammalia; Artiodactyla; Bovidae. The record is from RNAcentral.